This 58-nucleotide transfer RNA is filed under the name Salmo salar (Atlantic salmon). It matches the Rfam family "tRNA", at positions 8 to 63 of the family's 71-position model. From Rfam's summary of the family: Transfer RNA (tRNA) molecules are approximately 80 nucleotides in length. Their secondary structure includes four short double-helical elements and three loops (D, anti-codon, and T loops). The record is from Rfam by way of RNAcentral. Lineage: Eukaryota; Metazoa; Chordata; Actinopteri; Salmoniformes; Salmonidae. RNAcentral also lists the same sequence under 1 other name.
UGGCUCAGUUGGUAGAGCAGGGUGCUUGCAAUGCUAGGGGUGUGGGUUUGAUUCCCAC